Molecule: long non-coding RNA, 272 nt
Filed under: Lathyrus oleraceus (garden pea)
Lineage: Eukaryota; Viridiplantae; Streptophyta; Magnoliopsida; Fabales; Fabaceae
Description: Pisum sativum (pea) long non-coding RNA (PSAT_LNC034347)
Source: RNAcentral
UCAUUUGUAUCUCGCUCAACCUUUUUACUUGUUUUAUUUAUCUGCAAUUGGUAGUAUAAUUAAUCACAACACAAAAACCAAAGGCUUUUGUCUAAUUGAAACAAUCUAUAAACUCUGUGUCGUCAAGCAGUCCUUGAGAUCGACAAACGGGGAAUUUCCCUUUUAUUUCUACAGUGAGAAAAAUAGUACACUUGCUAUUUUCCCAUCACCUUCCAUGAAAAGGUACGUAGGCAACGGGUUCAUCCGUUCAAACACAAAAACAAUAAUAACUU